GUGCCUGUGAUGAUUCAUUUUAAAAAUGUUGGAAUUACCGACUGAUUUUUUUGUGAUGACAGAUCGACUAGCUGAGGCACUUU
Helianthus annuus (common sunflower) is the source of this 83-nucleotide non-coding RNA. The record is from Rfam. Lineage: Eukaryota; Viridiplantae; Streptophyta; Magnoliopsida; Asterales; Asteraceae.